RNAcentral lists this ribosomal RNA (445 nucleotides) under uncultured bacterium. RNAcentral describes it as "partial 16S ribosomal RNA". It matches the Rfam family "Bacterial small subunit ribosomal RNA", at positions 354 to 796 of the family's 1533-position model. The record is from RNAcentral.
GUGGGGAAUUUUGGACAAUGGGCGCAAGCCUGAUCCAGCCAUGCCGCGUGCAGGAAGACGCAUCUAUGGUGUGUAAACUGCUUUUGUACGGGAAGAAACACUCCCUCGUGAGGGAGCUUGACGGUACCGUAAGAAUAAGGAUCGGCUAACUCCGUGCCAGCAGCCGCGGUAAUACGGAGGAUCCAAGCGUUAUCCGGAAUCAUUGGGUUUAAAGGGUCCGUAGGCGGUUUAAUAAGUCAGUGGUGAAAGCCCAUCGCUCAACGAUGGAACGGCCAUAGAUACUGUUAGACUUGAAUUACAAGGAAGUAACUAGAAUAUGUAGUGUAGCGGUGAAAUGCUUAGAUAUUACAUGGAAUACCAAUUGCGAAGGCAGGUUACUACUUGUGGAUUGACGCUGAUGGACGAAAGCGUGGGGAGCGAACAGGAUUAGAAACCCGUGUAGUCC